Non-coding RNA from Nicotiana tabacum (common tobacco), 631 nucleotides. The record is from RefSeq and is a predicted model, not a curated record. Lineage: Eukaryota; Viridiplantae; Streptophyta; Magnoliopsida; Solanales; Solanaceae.
CCUAGAGCAUUCUCGAAGGGGUUUUAGGGUGAGAAUUCAGAAAGUAAUUGCACUUACUUGAGGAACAAGUCAAUGACUAAAGGACUAAUCUGAAAAUAAAUAAGGGACUGAAUUAUAAACAGAAAUUAAGGGGCUGCCCUCAUCUUUGUCUAUAAAAGGCAUGCCUCUUUGCCUUAACAAAGAGGUGGCAACCAAAAAAAAUUCCCCCAAAACUCUCCCUAAUCUCAGAUCUAAUUUUGAAAUUUAAGCAUUCAAAACCCCCAAAAAAAGAUAGAAAACCUCUAGAAAAACCAAAAAUAAUCAGGAAGUAUUGUUCUAAUGAAAAAUUAACAAGUUAGUUCCGGGAUUGGUGCUGGGUCUACUUGAGUUUUGCAAGUGUAUUUGGUUCACUAUUGGUUUUAAUCAUCUCUAACUGAUUCCUGGGCUAAUUGAAUACUGAUUUUGUUGUUGUGGUUUGCUGUAAAAACUGCUGCUGAUAUUCUCUUCUUCUUCUUACAUUUCAUAUCCAGCCUGAAGUUAAGGGUGAAAAAGGACAUGGUGCCAAACAAUGACCACUUGCAGAUCCAUUCGUGUUUCUUGACUGGAAUAUAGUAGUGACCAAUAGCAGCAGAAGAAAGAAGAAAAAGAAGAA